This 589-nucleotide long non-coding RNA is filed under the name Ananas comosus (pineapple). Its description in RNAcentral is "long non-coding RNA (ACOM_LNC041501)". The record is from RNAcentral. Lineage: Eukaryota; Viridiplantae; Streptophyta; Magnoliopsida; Poales; Bromeliaceae.
UUUUUUAAAACCUGACCCCAGAGUAUGCCAGAUCCGCCACAAAUACAGGAAAUCCACUGUUUACACGGACAGAGUCUCCCCUGUAUUUGCACGGCGUCGAUCAAAUACACAGUACAACCAGGAUACAACCACAACCAGAUGAAUAUAAAGAUAACUAUACAUUCAUACAUUCACCAUUCACAUCGCAGUUUUACAUUCAAGGUUUAAACAGAAAUCCACAAAAAUCUUUUGAAAACUGUUUCUUAUACAGAAACCUUUAUUCUUUUAAAAACGCUACCACGAGGGGUAGAAAACCUUUUAUUUUACAAAAUCCAGAAAUCCACAUUUUCAAAUGUAAAUAAAUACUGAACCACAUAAACCAACUAAACUAUAUAUCAACAGAAAUACCAAGGAUAAUAACUAAAUCGAAAUAACCUGGGUCGGAAGCUCUAUCGACCGCUACACACGUACCUCACGUCUCGUCCCACUACUCAUCGCCCACGAUACCUGAAAAAUGGUGGGGGAGGUGAGAACAUGUAAACAUGUCUCCCCUCCCAGUGGGUACCGCAAGCCGAAGAAGGCGAGGAGUACUCACCGGAUCAGGAAGAGA